Molecule: ribosomal RNA, 177 nt
Filed under: Triticum aestivum (bread wheat)
Lineage: Eukaryota; Viridiplantae; Streptophyta; Magnoliopsida; Poales; Poaceae
Description: partial small subunit ribosomal RNA
Source: RNAcentral
AGGCCGGCUAUCUUCAAGUCAAGUCCCAAUGGGUGGGCGACACGGCCACAAGGAACGGCAUCGCAGGUUGAGGAAGAGCAGGACUCUGAUGAAGAUGAUGAUAUGCCGCCACUUGAGGCAAACACGAACAGAAAUAGACCGUUUGACGUGCAUUCCGAUACAGAAAUAGACCUCUAG